This 497-nucleotide ribosomal RNA is filed under the name uncultured bacterium. RNAcentral describes it as "partial 16S ribosomal RNA". It matches the Rfam family "Bacterial small subunit ribosomal RNA", at positions 28 to 507 of the family's 1533-position model. The record is from RNAcentral.
GAUGAACGCUGGCGGCGUGCCUAAUACAUGCAAGUCGAGCGAACGGACGAGAAGCUUGCUUCUCUGAUGUUAGCGGCGGACGGGUGAGUAACACGUGGAUAACCUACCUAUAAGACUGGGAUAACUUCGGGAAACCGUAGCUAAUACCGGAUAAUAUUUUGAACCGCAUGGUUCAAAAGUGAAAGACGGUCUUGCUGUCACUUAUAGAUGGAUCCGCGCUGCAUUAGCUAGUUGGUAAGGUAACGGCUUACCAAGGCAACGAUGCAUAGCCGACCUGAGAGAGUGUUCGGCCACACUGGAACUGAGACACGGUCCAGACUCCUACGGGAGGCAGCAGUAGGGAAUCUUCCGCAAUGGGCGAAAGCCUGACGGAGCAACGCCGCGUGAGUGAUGAAGGUCUUCGGAUCGUAAAACUCUGUUAUUAGGGAAGAACAUAUGUGUAAGUAACUGUGCACAUCUUGACGGUACCUAAUCAGAAAGCCACGGCUAACUACGUG